This 460-nucleotide ribosomal RNA is filed under the name uncultured bacterium. RNAcentral's name for it is "partial 16S ribosomal RNA". It matches the Rfam family "Bacterial small subunit ribosomal RNA", at positions 338 to 795 of the family's 1533-position model. The record is from RNAcentral.
CCUACGGGCGGCUGCAGUGAGGAAUAUUGGUCAAUGGACGAGAGUCUGAACCAGCCAAGUAGCGUGAAGGAUGACUGCCCUAUGGGUUGUAAACUUCUUUUAUAUGGGAAUAAAAUGUUCCACGUGUGGGAUUUUGUAUGUACCAUAUGAAUAAGGAUCGGCUAACUCCGUGCCAGCAGCCGCGGUAAGACGGAGGAUUCGAGCGUUAUCCGGAUUUAUUGGGUUUAAAGGGAGCGUAGGUGGAUUGUUAAGUCAGUUGUGAAAGUUUGGGGCUCAACCGUAAAAUUGCAGUUGAAACUGGCAGUCUAGAGUACAGUAGAGGUGGGCGGAAUUCGAGGUGUAGCGGUGAAAUGCUUAGAUAUCACGAAGAACUCCGAUUGCGAAGGCAGCUCACUGGACUGCAACUGACACUGAGGCUCGAAAGUGUGGGUAUCAAACAGGAUUAGAUACCCUUGUAGUC